This 651-nucleotide ribosomal RNA is filed under the name Microbacterium sp. Its description in RNAcentral is "bacterial SSU rRNA". It matches the Rfam family "Bacterial small subunit ribosomal RNA", at positions 137 to 802 of the family's 1533-position model. The record is from RNAcentral. Lineage: Bacteria; Bacillati; Actinomycetota; Actinomycetes; Micrococcales; Microbacteriaceae.
UCUGGGAUAAGCGCUGGAAACGGCGUCUAAUACUGGAUACGAACCACGAAGGCAUCUUCAGUGGUUGGAAAGAAUUUCGGUUGGGGAUGGGCUCGCGGCCUAUCAGCUUGUUGGUGAGGUAAUGGCUCACCAAGGCGUCGACGGGUAGCCGGCCUGAGAGGGUGACCGGCCACACUGGGACUGAGACACGGCCCAGACUCCUACGGGAGGCAGCAGUGGGGAAUAUUGCACAAUGGGCGCAAGCCUGAUGCAGCAACGCCGCGUGGGGGAUGACGGCCUUCGGGUUGUAAACCUCUUUUAGCAGGGAAGAAGCGAAAGUGACGGUACCUGCAGAAAAAGCGCCGGCUAACUACGUGCCAGCAGCCGCGGUAAUACGUAGGGCGCAAGCGUUAUCCGGAAUUAUUGGGCGUAAAGAGCUCGUAGGCGGUUUGUCGCGUCUGCUGUGAAAUCCCGAGGCUCAACCUCGGGCCUGCAGUGGGUACGGGCAGACUAGAGUGCGGUAGGGGAGAUUGGAAUUCCUGGUGUAGCGGUGGAAUGCGCAGAUAUCAGGAGGAACACCGAUGGCGAAGGCAGAUCUCUGGGCCGUAACUGACGCUGAGGAGCGAAAGGGUGGGGAGCAAACAGGCUUAGAUACCCUGGUAGUCCACCCCG